Molecule: transfer RNA, 64 nt
Filed under: Bacteroidales bacterium
Lineage: Bacteria; Pseudomonadati; Bacteroidota; Bacteroidia; Bacteroidales
Description: tRNA-OTHER
Rfam family: tRNA
About the family: Transfer RNA (tRNA) molecules are approximately 80 nucleotides in length. Their secondary structure includes four short double-helical elements and three loops (D, anti-codon, and T loops). Further hydrogen bonds mediate the characteristic L-shaped molecular structure. tRNAs have two regions of fundamental functional importance: the anti-codon, which is responsible for specific mRNA codon recognition, and the 3' end, to which the tRNAs corresponding amino acid is attached (by aminoacyl-tRNA synthetases). tRNAs cope with the degeneracy of the genetic code in two manners: having more than one tRNA (with a specific anti-codon) for a particular amino acid; and 'wobble' base-pairing, i.e. permitting non-standard base-pairing at the 3rd anti-codon position.
Source: RNAcentral
GCCGAUGUAGCAUUAACGGGUAAAUGCAUAUUGGAGAAUGCAGGUUCGAGCCCUGCCAUCGGCC